ACGAACGCUGGCGGCGUGGAUAAGGCAUGCAAGUCGAACGGAACUUAUUUGGUUUAAGAUGCGAUUACAUCAAGUCAAAAAUUUUAUAAGUUUAGUGGCAAACGAGGUAGGAAUACUUAGGUACGUACCCCGAAGUCGGGCACAACCAGCCGAAAGGUUGGCUAAUUCCCGAUAUUGUGGCAACACGAAACCCGCAAGGGGCUUCGGGAGCGGCCUACGGGCUAUCAGCUUGUUGGUAGGGUAACGGCCUACCAAGGCUAUGACGGCUAGGAGGCGUGAGAGCGUGACCUCCACCGAUGGAACUGAGACACGGUCCAUACACCUACGGGUGGCAGCAGUCGAGAAUAUUCGACAAUGGGCGAAAGCCUGAUCGAGCGACGCCGCGUGAAGGAUGAAAUUCUUCGGGAUGUAAACUUCUUUUGACAGGGAAGAACACAAUGACGGUACCUGUCGAAUAAGGGCCUGCAAAUCUCGU
RNAcentral lists this ribosomal RNA (475 nucleotides) under uncultured bacterium. RNAcentral's name for it is "bacterial SSU rRNA". It matches the Rfam family "Bacterial small subunit ribosomal RNA", at positions 29 to 506 of the family's 1533-position model. The record is from RNAcentral.